Acanthosepion pharaonis is the source of this 115-nucleotide non-coding RNA. The record is from the annotation of a GenBank genome assembly. NCBI's taxonomy places the organism in Eukaryota, Metazoa, Mollusca, Cephalopoda, Sepiida, Sepiidae.
UUACGGCCAUAUUACGUUGAAAUUCCGGAUCAGGUACGAGUCACAGAAGUUAAGUAACGUUGAGCCUGGUCAGUACCUAGAUGAGUGACCACUUUAGAAUACUAGGUGCUGUCAG